AGAGUUUGAUCCUGGCUCAGGAUGAUUUCUAGCGACAGGCUUAACACAUGCAAGUCGAGGGGCAGCGGGGAGGUAGCAAUACUUCCGCCGGCGACCGGCGCACGGGUGAGUAACACGUAUGCAACCUGGCCGCCACAGGGGGAUAACCCGCGGAAACGCGGCCUAAUACCCCGUGACGCCACCGGAGGGCAUCCUCCGGUGGCCAAAGGAGCGAUCCGGUGGCGGAUGGGCAUGCGGCGCAUUAGCUAGACGGCGGGGUGACGGCCCACCGUGGCGACGAUGCGUAGGGGUUCUGAGAGGAAGGUCCCCCACACUGGUACUGAGACACGGACCAGACUCCUACGGGAGGCAGCAGUGAGGAAUAUUGGUCAAUGGUCGGGAGACUGAACCAGCCAAGCCGCGUGAGGGAUGAAGGUACAGAGUAUCGUAAACCUCUUUUGUCAGGGAACAAAGGCGGGGACGCGUCCCCGGAUGAGUGUACCUGAAGAAAAAGCAUCGGCUAACUCCGUGCCAGCAGCCGCGGUAAUACGGAGGAUGCGAGCGUUAUCCGGAUUUAUUGGGUUUAAAGGGUGCGCAGGCGGUCUGUUAAGUCAGCGGUCAAAGCCCGGGGCUCAACCCCGGCCCGCCGUUGAAACUGGCAGUCUCGAGUUGGAGAGAAGUAUGCGGAAUGCGCGGUGUAGCGGUGAAAUGCAUAGAUAUCGCGCAGAACUCCGAUUGCGAAGGCAGCAUGCCGGCUCCACACUGACGCUGAGGCACGAAAGCGUGGGUAUCGAACAGGAUUAGAUACCCUGGUAGUCCACGCAGUAAACGAUGAAUGCUGGCUGUCGGGGGGGACUGACCCCUGGGUGGCGAAGGGAAAAGCGAUAAGCAUUCCACCUGGGGAGGUACGCCGGCAACGGUGAAACUCAAAGGAAUUGACGGUGGCCCGCACAAGCGGAGGAACAUGUGGUUUAAUUCGAUGAUACGCGAGGAACCUUACCCGGGCUCAAACGGGGAGUGACUCAGGCAGAGACGCCUGUUUCCCACGGGACACUCCCCGAGGUGCUGCAUGGUUGUCGUCAGCUCGUGCCGUGAGGUGUCGGCUUAAGUGCCAUAACGAGCGCAACCCCCGCGUGCAGUUGCUAACAGAUAACGCUGAGGACUCUGCACGGACUGCCGGCGCAAGCCGCGAGGAAGGCGGGGAUGACGUCAAAUCAGCACGGCCCUUACGUCCGGGGCGACACACGUGUUACAAUGGGUGGUACAGCGGGAAGCCAGGCGGCGACGCCGAGCGGAACCCGAAAUCCACUCUCAGUUCGGAUCGGAGUCUGCAACCCGACUCCGUGAAGCUGGAUUCGCUAGUAAUCGCGCAUCAGCCAUGGCGCGGUGAAUACGUUCCCGGGCCUUGCACACACCGCCCGUCA
Molecule: ribosomal RNA, 1403 nt
Filed under: uncultured bacterium
Lineage: Bacteria
Description: 16S ribosomal RNA
Rfam family: Bacterial small subunit ribosomal RNA
Source: RNAcentral